UACGAAGGGGGCUAGCGUUGCUCGGAAUCACUGGGCGUAAAGCGCACGUAGGCGGCUUCUUAAGUCGGGGGUGAAAUCCUGGAGCUCAACUCCAGAACUGCCCUCCAAACUGCUUGGCUUGAGUCCGGGAGAGGUGAGUGGAAUUCCCAGUGUAGCGGUGAAAUGCGUAGAUAUUGGGAGGAACACCAGUGGCGAAGGCGGCUCACUGGACCGGAACUGACGCUGAGGCGCGAAAGCGUGGGGAGCAAACGGG
This 253-nucleotide ribosomal RNA is filed under the name uncultured bacterium. RNAcentral describes it as "partial 16S ribosomal RNA". It matches the Rfam family "Bacterial small subunit ribosomal RNA", at positions 524 to 776 of the family's 1533-position model. The record is from RNAcentral.